GAAAGUAAGAAAGGGCGUAUGGCGGAUGCCUAGGCUCACGGAGGCGAUGAAGGACGUGAUAAGCUGCGAUAAGCUUCGGGUAGGUGCAAAUAACCCUUGAUCCGGAGAUUUCCGAAUGGGACAACCUAGCCGUCUGAAGGACGGUUACUCUUACCAAUGUAAGAGAGCUAACGCAGGGAACUGAAACAUCUUAGUACCUGCAGGAAGAGAAAAUAAAUGAAUGAUUCCCCCAGUAGUGGCGAGCGAACGGGGAACAGCCCAAACCGUUGACGUCGCAAGGCGCCAGCGGGGUUGUAGGACCGCGACAUUGUAUGCAAAUCGUGAACAGAACACUUUGGAAAAUGUGACCAUAGACGGUGAUAGUCCAGUAUGUGAAGCGAAAUGCAGCAUAGCGGUAUCCUGAGUAACGCGGGACACGAGGAAUCCUGCGCGAAUCUGCCGGGACCAUCCGGUAAGGCUAAAUACUCCCGUGAGACCGAUAGCGAACGAGUACUGUGAAGGAAAGGUGAAAAGAACCCCGAGCAGGGGAGUGAAAUAGUUCCUGAAACCAUACGCCUACAAGCGGUCGGAGCAUCUUACGAUGUGACGGCGUGCCUUUUGCAUAAUGAUCCUACGAGUUACCGUCACUGGCGAGGUUGAGUGUCAUGAGACACGUAGCCGCAGUGAAAGCGAGCCUGAACAGGGCGCAUAGUCAGUGGGGGUAGACGCGAAACCAAGUGAUCUACACUUGGCCAGGAUGAAGUCCCGGUAACACGGGAUGGAGGUCCGCACCAAUAAGCGUUGAAAAGCUUCUGGAUGAGCCGAGUGUAGGAGUGAAAGGCCAAUCAAACUUGGAGAUAGCUCGUACUCCCCGAAAGGCAUUUAGGUGCCGCGUCGGAUGGUCACCGUGAGAGGUAGAGCGACCGAUAGGACAAGAGGGCUUCACCGCCUAUCGAGUCCUGACGAACUCCGAAUGCUCACGGUCUGCAGUCCGGCAGUAAGGGGGCGGGUGCUAAGGUCCGUCCCCGAGAGGAGAAGAAUCCAGACCGCCGUCUAAGGUCCCGGAGUUCUGCCUGAGUUAGUCUAACGAAGUCUGGUCCCUAUGACAGCUAGGAUGUUGGCUUGGAAGCAGCCAUUCAUUCAAAGAGUGCGUAACAGCUCACUAGUCGAGGGUCCGGGCAUGGAUAAUAAUCGGGUAUAAGGCAGACACCGAAGGCGCGGGAUAGCAUUUAAGAAAGUAUCGGUAGGGGAGCAUACUCACAGCGUCGAAUGGUGUACGUAAGUUAUCCUGGAGCGGUGAGUAAAGCAAAUGUAGGAAUAAGUAACGAUAAGGAGGGUUAGAUUCCCUCCCGCUGUAAGACCAAGGUUUCCCGGGCAAUGCCAAUCAGCCCGGGGUCAGUCGGGUCCUAAGUCUAAGCCGAACGGCGAUGGCGAUGGCAGAGACGGUUAAUAUUCCGUCACUGCCGCAUGGGGCGACGUGGAGACGGAGCAGUGAAACCACCGCGGGGCGACGGAAGUCCCCGUUGAAGAGUGUAGGUGUUGAGGAUGGCAGGCAAAUCCACCGUCCGAGCUGAACUUGAUAGUAUGGAGUCUUCUUCGGAAGAAUCCAAUAGUGUGGGUAAUCAUACUCCCGAGAAAAUCCGCUAAGCUUAACCCAUGCGGCACCCGUACCGCAAACGGACACACGUGGUCGGGUAGAACAUACUAAGGCGUUGAGAGAUUCAUGGUUAAGGAACUAGGCAAAUUGACCCUGUAACUUCGGGAUAAAGGGUCCUCGUGAUGAGCGAGGCGCAGAGAAUAGGUCCAGGCAACUGUUUAACAAAAACACAGGGCUGUGCAAACUCGAAAGAUGACGUAUACAGCCUGACACCUGCCCGGUGCCGGAAGGUUAAGAGGAGAUGUCACUCGCAAGAGGAAGCAUUGAAUUGAAGCCCCGGUAAACGGCGGCCGUAACUAUAACGGUCCUAAGGUAGCGAAAUUCCUUGUCGGGUAAGUUCCGACCUGCACGAAUGGUGUAACGAUCUGGGCACUGUCUCAACCGUGAGCUCGGUGAAAUUGUAGUAUCGGUGAAGAUGCCGAUUACCCGCGAUGGGACGAAAAGACCCCGUGAACCUUUACUACAGCUUAGCAUUGACCUUGGUCAUCCGAUGUGUAGGAUAGGCCGGAGGCUUCGAAGCGGGAGCGCCAGCUUUCGUGGAGCCAUCCUUGAAAUACGGCCCUUUGGCUGUCUGAGGUCUAACGCGUGAUACGCGGACACUGCUUGGUGGGUAGUUUGACUGGGGUGGUCGCCUCCAAAAGCGUAACGGAGGCUUCCA
Molecule: ribosomal RNA, 2294 nt
Filed under: wastewater metagenome
Description: bacterial LSU rRNA
Rfam family: Bacterial large subunit ribosomal RNA
Source: RNAcentral